RNAcentral lists this precursor RNA (916 nucleotides) under Oryza sativa Indica Group (long-grained rice). Its description in RNAcentral is "putative precursor microRNA R396b". The stretch from base 344 to 460 matches the Rfam family "MIR396 microRNA precursor family". Lineage: Eukaryota; Viridiplantae; Streptophyta; Magnoliopsida; Poales; Poaceae. The record is from RNAcentral.
AGUUGAGAGAGGGACAAAGUGAAUGAGGAUGGCCUCCAUAUUCUUCUUGGGAUUGGGGUCCUUAACCUCUCACCAACCCCAUGCUUGGCCUCCUCCUCACCUUGCUGGUAUAAAUAGCCCUAACUCUCCCCUCUUUCUCCCUCCACCUCCCUAAGCUGAAGCUUACAAGAACUAGCUGCUUCUUGUGCCUUCUUCCUUCAUUUCAACUCUUCUUCAGCUACAUGAGCACCUGAACUAUACAAAGAAGUGAACAACUAGCUUAGCUAGCCACAGUUUCUUGCCAGCUUCUUGACAUGAAUUAUUGCAUGUUAUUAGCUGUGCACCUGCAAAAGAAGAUGGUCCUCUUUGUGGUCUUCCACAGCUUUCUUGAACUGCAUCUUUGAGAGAGAUUAGCAUCCCUAUGUGUGGAUUUUGCUUGCACGAGUGUGCAGUUCAAUAAAGCUGUGGGAAAUUACAGAGAGAGGUCAAUUGACAGCAAGGUUAGUUGGAGCUUUCACCAAUUUUAGGAUGUAGAUGCAAGGUACCUACAUAUUUAGAAGGCAAGUACUAUAGAAAGUUUAUAUGGUCAUGGCUCUCCAACUCUAUUAUGUGACAAGAUUUGGUUUCGUGCCUUCUUUUGAAUGAAAAGCUUCAAAUAGUUUUCUUACUAUGUCUUGUUGGGUCCAUUGUUUGGCAUUUAACUUCUGAUUAUAGUUUCUCAGUUCUUCACCUUGUGUUCUUAACUGUUACUUAUCCAAUAAAUGCAAGUAAUCUGAUUGCAUCAACUUUAUUUUUAUUAUGCCCUAGGAAAUUAUAUAUGAAUUAGUUCGCAGCGAAUCGACAUGAUGUCUGUAGGUGCAUUCUUGUUUUCUUUUCUUUCCUUCUCUUGAGGUCUUGCCAAAAUGUUAAUGCAUGUAAUAUGUAUAGACUAGCUAGU